AGGAGUUUUCAACAUCAAGAGAAGGAUUCAAGUGAUCGCUGAGGACUCAGACUGAGUGGCUUGAGAAAGCGGAAGCUGGGAUAGUGCGCCGCUAGCCAGAGGUUUGGUAAAUUCGAGAAUUGCUGGGGUCAAGAUGAUCAAUAGUCAGACUUCAAUGCCCUUGUAUAUGUUUAUUGGCUCAAGAUGAUCACGAAAUUGCUGAAUGAGUGGUGUAGAAACGGCUUUGCAAGAAUAUCCAAUCAGCUGCUUACUUAUGUCAACAGAUAAUAGUUGAUA
This is a long non-coding RNA of Morus notabilis, 276 nucleotides long. RefSeq lists it as uncharacterized. The record is from RefSeq and is a predicted model, not a curated record. Lineage: Eukaryota; Viridiplantae; Streptophyta; Magnoliopsida; Rosales; Moraceae. The transcript has 3 exons.